GGUGGGGCGGAGCUCGGGAAAAGAAGAAGGCUGGAGGUGCUCAGCUCUUGAUCGCAGAUGAGGGCCAAGGCGACGCUCCGGAGUCGAUUCCGGCAGGGAGGGUCAUUGGGACUCCAUUGGAUCUAUCUGGAUCGCCCAGGACACUGAAGACUGGAACAACAGCAGUGACAUUAUGAUCUGUAUUUGGCACGUAAGUUAACACUAAAUACCUCCCACCCACCCCUAGUGUAAUGGUUUAUUCACAAAAGAAAUAUCAGAACCAGCAUUUGGUGAGAAAGGCAGCAAAGCUCUUGGUUGGCUUUGCCUGUAUAGCCACAACACUUCUCUAACUACAAACCUAAACGCAAAGGGCUAGGUCCUAUACAUUCAGCAAAGGCUGUUUGAAAGCCAAAACCUGGAUCAUAUGUGCUCUAAUAAAAAGACAAGAUAUCUGGAGGAUGUCCCAGAUCUAAUUACUUUUAUGUAUUUUUUAAACCCUAAAUAGAACCAAAAGUCAUUAUUUUCAGCAUUAUUAACAUGUUUAAUUUCUCUCCAUAUAGGUAUGUUUUCUGCAAACUGAAAUCUAAAUUUAACCUUUGUUAACUCUCUCACAGACAGUAUUAUGGUUAAGAACUGGGUAAUACAAGCUAAUGGGUAAAACUAAGAAAGUAUAUAUUACAUAUCUGGUGUAACAAGACCAUAGCUGGAUGUGAAAAUAAAGCCCUAAUGACCAUUUCUCUCCUUAUGUGAAAUCUCCGCUCAUGAAGUUCAAAGAUAGACACAGCAGAGCUUGCAUAUAUUAUUGGUUUUAGAUAAGUAAAUAAUGACAAGAAGGCAGGCAGGAAAGGGGACAGCAAAUAUCACCCUCAGAAACAGUGAGACUGGAGUGCUUUCUACAUACUGUUUUCAGAGAGAAGGCAGUGGUGGCCAACUUAAAAAGGAUACAGCUACUCAGGGAUGGGCAGAGCUCAUAACCACCUGAAAAGAUGAAGAUGAAGUGGCCUCUGGUGAACUGAUGGGCAUUUUUAUGAAUUUUAAAAGUUUGCCAAUAUUUAAUGAUUUUUAAGAACACUGAAAAUCAAAGCCCUUCGGUAAAUGCUACCAAUAAAACUUUUGGCCAUAUGACCCAGGCCAACCAUCCUUUAAUUUCAGUAGACCAAUCUCUGUUUAAUGUUCUGCUGUCUUUAAACAUCCCCAAAUAUACAAGUCUAGAACUUCAUGCCACUAAAGUGCUCAGUUAGGAGUCUAAGAUUAUGCUGUACCAGAGAAAGGCUGACACUCAUGUGCAAAGAAAGAUAGCAGCUUCCAGGACAGGCAGUAAAACAAGGAAAAACCAGUUGGGUCCUGCGUGUGUCUCCACAUCAUUUGCUUCCAUGUUUGAAGAAAGGAGCCUGCUCUUUUGCUAGGCCAUGAGGCUGGAAUCCACUUGGCAUUCUGUGUUGAGAGGUCUAGAGUUCCAUGGUGCUCUCCGCAGCAGCCAGGUGAGGUGACUCUGAGGCUGGGUAACCUGUGCUUUCAGAGAAGCAGGGAAGGGCCCUCUAGGUAUUCUGCAGUCUCUCAGAAGAGUUCAUCAUAGCAAUGAACAGCGGAAGAAACUGGUCUUCUUGGACCGGUUUUCUGUUAUUUUCACUGGCCCACCUGCUCCUGAUGAAUUGCUGUCAUUCUGAAAAAUAGGAUAUGAAGUUGCUAAGGAAACCAAAAUUCCAGGUUUGACACCAAUUACCUACAAAGUAAAAACACACCUGGUGUGGGGAAUAUACUCUAGUACACUCGCACCCAUGCUCACUGCAAAGCUCUAUCAGAGAAGGAAUUAGUUAAGUCUCAGCAUUGUCUUUUUUAUAAGUGGUGAGUUAAAGAGAAAAUAUUCUUAGGCUAGAUAGCACUUCUGUUUUAACCAUGUAGGACACUCUUAUAUCUAGCUUAAGGCAAUUUCAGCCAAGGCCUGUAAGGUGUCAGGAUAAUGAUGGAAACAAGGCUAAGGCAGUAGACAAUAGGGUUAGAAGCAAGAGGAGUUGGUAACAGAAGAUAGUUUUCAUAAGGACCCAUAUUAAAAUGAACUUUAGGGUGUCCUAAAGAUUCAUCACUGACAGUUCAAAUUUAAGCCAACUUCAGCAACUCCAAGAUCAUCAUUAUAUAGAUAAAAAUUAUGUAUUAUAUGAAAACUGAACUAGAUAAUUUUAUGAAAAAAAGCAAUUUCUACCAUUUUUAUUUUCACUAUUUUGAUAGAAAUUCAAUUAACUACCACUUAAGGAGUCAGAGGAAAGAGCUGAGAUAGCUAUAAUACAGAAACAACCCUAAAGCAAUAGAAAUUAGAACCAAGGUACAAUCAUAUGAAAGCAUCAGGAACAAGUAAGUUUAAUGUGAGCAUAUUAUAAUCAUGCUCUCCAUUCUGUUGAGUUUCAUAAAAGGCUGUAUCAUGAAAAUAAAAACUAAAGUGAUACAAA
Cricetulus griseus (Chinese hamster) is the source of this 2423-nucleotide non-coding RNA. Lineage: Eukaryota; Metazoa; Chordata; Mammalia; Rodentia; Cricetidae. The record is from RefSeq and is a predicted model, not a curated record.